This 468-nucleotide ribosomal RNA is filed under the name uncultured bacterium. Its description in RNAcentral is "partial 16S ribosomal RNA". It matches the Rfam family "Bacterial small subunit ribosomal RNA", at positions 28 to 507 of the family's 1533-position model. The record is from RNAcentral.
GAUGAAUGCUGACAGAAUGCUUAACACAUGCAAGUCUACUUGAAUUUGGGUUUUUUCACUUAGAUUUGGGUGGCGGACGGGUGAGUAACGCGUAAAGAACUUGCCUCACAGCUAGGGACGACAUUUGGAAACGAAUGCUAAUACCUGAUAUUAUGAUUAUAAGGCAUCUUAGAAUUAUGAAAGCUAUAUGCGCUGUGAGAGAGCUUUGCGUCCCAUUAGCUAGUUGGAGAGGUAACGGCUCACCAAGGCGAUGAUGGGUAGCCGGCCUGAGAGGGUGAACGGCCACAAGGGGACUGAGACACGGCCCUUACUCCUACGGGAGGCAGCAGUGGGGAAUAUUGGACAAUGGACCAAGAGUCUGAUCCAGCAAUUCUGUGUGCACGAUGACGUUUUUCGGAAUGUAAAGUGCUUUCAGUUGGGAAGAAAAAAAUGACGGUACCAACAGAAGAAGUGACGGCUAAAUACGUG